RNAcentral lists this long non-coding RNA (362 nucleotides) under Apteryx rowi (Okarito brown kiwi). Its description in RNAcentral is "lncRNA (ENSARWG00000008215.1)". Lineage: Eukaryota; Metazoa; Chordata; Aves; Apterygiformes; Apterygidae. The record is from RNAcentral.
CUGCAAUUGUGAUGCCACGGAAGCCCCCAUCAGAAUUCACCACUUGCACGGCCAGAGGGGGGCCUUCAUCAGGGAGCUGACCUGGGAAAAAGCCACCGCUGUGCGAUGAGAGGGGGAGCCAAGUGCUCUGCUGCUUUACUGGGUUGCUGGGUGUGCACCUGAUGUGCGGGUCCUUUGGUAAAGCCGCAUCUCAGCUGUGAAAGAACUGGACCCGCUGGAGCGCAAGAAAUCUGCCAUUCCUUGUUUCUUCUCCACGAAAGGUUGGCUCUUUGUGUGCGUGUCCCUGUGAGCUCUACUGAAACGCAGCAGCUCUGUUUGCUCAGGAACAUGCGAGUUCCCACCUCCAUCUCAAACAAAGGCAG